This 554-nucleotide ribosomal RNA is filed under the name Rhizophagus irregularis. RNAcentral's name for it is "SSU rRNA". It matches the Rfam family "Eukaryotic small subunit ribosomal RNA", at positions 557 to 1112 of the family's 1831-position model. The record is from RNAcentral. Lineage: Eukaryota; Fungi; Glomeromycota; Glomeromycetes; Glomerales; Glomeraceae.
AAGUCUGGUGCCAGCAGCCGCGGUAAUUCCAGCUCCAAUAGCGUAUAUUAAAGUUGUUGCAGUUAAAAAGCUCGUAGUUGAAUUUCGGGGUUAGUAGGUUGGUCAUGCCUCUGGUAUGUACUGGUCUCACUGAUUCCUCCUUCCUUAUGAACCGUAAUGCCAUUAAUUUGGUGUUGCGGGGAAUUUGGACUGUUACCUUGAAAAAAUUAGAGUGUUUAAAGCAAGCUAACGCUUGAAUACAUUAGCAUGGAAUAAUGAAAUAGGACGUUCGAUCUUAUUUUGUUGGUUUCUAGGAUUGACGUAAUGAUUAAUAGGGAUAGUUGGGGGCAUUAGUAUUCAAUUGUCAGAGGUGAAAUUCUUGGAUUUAUUGAAGACUAACUACUGCGAAAGCAUUUGCCAAGGAUGUUUUCAUUAAUCAAGAACGAAAGUUAGGGGAUCGAAGACGAUCAGAUACCGUCGUAGUCUUAACCAUAAACUAUGCCGACUAGGGAUCGGAUGAUGUUAAUUUUUUAAUGACUCAUUCGGCGCCUUACGGGAAACCAAAGUGUUUGGGU